This 393-nucleotide ribosomal RNA is filed under the name uncultured bacterium. RNAcentral's name for it is "bacterial SSU rRNA". It matches the Rfam family "Bacterial small subunit ribosomal RNA", at positions 28 to 422 of the family's 1533-position model. The record is from RNAcentral.
GACGAACGCUGGCGGCGUGCUUAACACAUGCAAGUCGAGCGGUAAGGCCCUUUCGGGGGUACACGAGCGGCGAACGGGUGAGUAACACGUGGGUGACCUGCCCUCAGCUCUGGGAUAAGCCUGGGAAACCGGGUCUAAUACUGGAUAUGACUCCAUGACGCAUGUUGUGGGGUGGAAAGCCUUGUGCGGCUGAGGAUGGGCCCGCGGCCUAUCAGCUUGUUGGUGGGGUGAUGGCCUACCAAGGCUUCGACGGGUACCGGGUGUGAGAGCAUGACCCGGCACAUCGGAACUGAGACACGGUCCGGACACCUACGGGUGGCUGCAGCAACGAAUAUUCCGCAAUGGGCGAAAGCCUGACGGAGCGACGCCGCGUGCAGGAUGAAGUCUUUCGGG